AAUCGGCAGAAGACGGCGCUGAUUGGUCACGAUCAGGGUGCGGGCGGUGCCCGGCUGGUUUAACGGGGAUGGCGGGGUGGGCUUGGGCGGCUGAGCGGAGGGGUUCCGGGCGUCCCUCCGCGACCACCGCUCGCCAUGCGCCCGCUUUCUCGCCUGUAAGGGCUGCCUCUACUGGCUGCGGAGCUGCGUCCCGGUGCGCAGCCACAACCGGCAGCACGGCACCGCUGUCCUCCAGGAUGUCAGCUCAAGAGUCCAAGCAUCGGCAUCUGCAGCAUUCUCCAGCUGUCUUACCUCACUGAAGUGGAGAGAUGAUAUCAGGUUUCCCUCAGGGAGCAUUCCACGGCCUUCACUUCUCCAAGCGGCUGUAGUGACACUGUUUCCUUUCCAUCUUAGCCGGUGAAUCUGCUUGUGUGCACAAAGGCUACAAGGUCACUCACUAGUUAUGCAACUACUCCCUUUGCCCUUUUAAAAUAUAACUUGCCUUCUUGAAAUACAA
This is a long non-coding RNA of Haemorhous mexicanus (house finch), 496 nucleotides long. RefSeq lists it as uncharacterized. NCBI's taxonomy places the organism in Eukaryota, Metazoa, Chordata, Aves, Passeriformes, Fringillidae. The transcript is spliced from 2 exons. The record is from RefSeq and is a predicted model, not a curated record.